GAUGAACGCUAGCUACAGGCUUAACACAUGCAAGUCGAGGGGUAACGAGAGGGAAGCUUGCUUUCCUUGUCGACGACCGGCGCACGGGUGAGUAACGCGUAUCCAACCUGCCCCCAACUAGGGAAUAACCUUGCGAAAGUAAGACUAAUACCCUAUAAUUUCCUCAGAUGUCAUCUGACGAGGAAUAAAGAUUUAUCGGUUGUGGUUGGGGAUGCGUCUGAUUAGCUUGUUGGCGGGGUAACGGCCAACCAAGGCAACGAUCAGUAGGGGUUCUGAGAGGAAGGUCCCCCACAUUGGAACUGAGACACGGUCCAAACUCCUACGGGAGGCAGCAGUGAGGAAUAUUGGUCAAUGGGCGGAAGCCUGAACCAGCCAAGUAGCGUGCAGGAUGACGGCCCUAUGGGUUGUAAACUGCUUUUAUACAGGAAUAAAGUUAGCCACGUGUGGUUAUUUGUAGGUACUGUAUGAAUAAGGACCGGCUAAUUCCGUGCCAGCCGCCGCGGUAA
RNAcentral lists this ribosomal RNA (506 nucleotides) under uncultured bacterium. RNAcentral describes it as "partial 16S ribosomal RNA". It matches the Rfam family "Bacterial small subunit ribosomal RNA", at positions 28 to 523 of the family's 1533-position model. The record is from RNAcentral.